AUAGGGUCAAGUGAAUAAGUGCAUCAGGCGGAUGCCUUGGCGAUGAUAGGCGACGAAGGACGUGUAAGCCUGCGAAAAGCGCGGGGGAGCUGGCAAUAAAGCUAUGAUUCCGCGAUGUCCGAAUGGGGAAACCCACUGCAUUCUGUGCAGUAUCCUAAGUUGAAUACAUAGGCUUAGAGAAGCGAACCCGGAGAACUGAACCAUCUAAGUACCCGGAGGAAAAGAAAUCAACCGAGAUUCCGCAAGUAGUGGCGAGCGAACGCGGAGGAGCCUGUACGUAAUAACUGUCGAGAUAGAAGAACAAGCUGGGAAGCUUGACCAUAGCGGGUGACAGUCCCGUAUUCGAAAUCUCAACAGCGGUACUAAGCGUACGAAAAGUAGGGCGGGACACGUGAAAUCCUGUCUGAAUAUGGGGGGACCAUCCUCCAAGGCUAAAUACUCAUCAUCGACCGAUAGUGAACCAGUACCGUGAGGGAAAGGCGAAAAGAACCCCGGGAGGGGAGUGAAACAGAACCUGAAACCUGAUGCAUACAAACAGUGGGAGCGCCCUAGUGGUGUGACUGCGUACCUUUUGUAUAAUGGGUCAACGACUUACAUUCAGUAGCGAGCUUAACCGGAUAGGGGAGGCGUAGGGAAACCGAGUCUUAAUAGGGCGAUGAGUUGCUGGGUGUAGACCCGAAACCGAGUGAUCUAUCCAUGGCCAGGUUGAAGGUGCCGUAACAGGUACUGGAGGACCGAACCCACGCAUGUUGCAAAAUGCGGGGAUGAGCUGUGGGUAGGGGUGAAAGGCUAAACAAACUCGGAGAUAGCUGGUUCUCCCCGAAAACUAUUUAGGUAGUGCCUCGAGCAAGACACUGAUGGGGGUAAAGCACUGUUAUGGCUAGGGGGUUAUUGCAACUUACCAACCCAUGGCAAACUCAGAAUACCAUCAAGUGGUUCCUCGGGAGACAGACAGCGGGUGCUAACGUCCGUUGUCAAGAGGGAAACAACCCAGACCGCCGGCUAAGGUCCCAAAUGAUAGAUUAAGUGGUAAACGAAGUGGGAAGGCACAGACAGCCAGGAUGUUGGCUUAGAAGCAGCCAUCAUUUAAAGAAAGCGUAAUAGCUCACUGGUCGAGUCGUCCUGCGCGGAAGAUGUAACGGGGCUCAAAUCUAUAACCGAAGCUGCGGAUGCCGGUUUACCGGCAUGGUAGGGGAGCGUUCUGUAGGCUGAUGAAGGUGCAUUGUAAAGUGUGCUGGAGGUAUCAGAAGUGCGAAUGUUGACAUGAGUAGCGAUAAAGCGGGUGAAAAGCCCGCUCGCCGAAAGCCCAAGGUUUCCUACGCAACGUUCAUCGGCGUAGGGUGAGUCGGCCCCUAAGGCGAGGCAGAAAUGCGUAGUCGAUGGGAAACAGGUUAAUAUUCCUGUACUUGAUUCAAAUGCGAUGUGGGGACGGAGAAGGUUAGGUUGGCAAGCUGUUGGAAUAGCUUGUUUAAGCCGGUAGGUGGAAGACUUAGGCAAAUCCGGGUUUUCUUAACACCGAGAAGUGAUGACGAGUGUCUACGGACACGAAGCAACCGAUACCACGCUUCCAGGAAAAGCCACUAAGCUUCAGUUUGAAUCGAACCGUACCGCAAACCGACACAGGUGGGCAGGAUGAGAAUUCUAAGGCGCUUGAGAGAACUCGGGAGAAGGAACUCGGCAAAUUGAUACCGUAACUUCGGGAGAAGGUAUGCCCUCUAAGGUUAAGGACUUGCUCCGUAAGCCCCGGAGGGUCGCAGAGAAUAGGUGGCUGCGACUGUUUAUUAAAAACACAGCACUCUGCCAACACGAAAGUGGACGUAUGGGGUGUGACGCCUGCCCGGUGCCGGAAGGUUAAUUGAAGAUGUGCAAGCAUCGGAUCGAAGCCCCGGUAAACGGCGGCCGUAACUAUAACGGUCCUAAGGUAGCGAAAUUCCUUGUCGGGUAAGUUCCGACCCGCACGAAUGGCGUAACGAUGGCCACACUGUCUCCUCCCGAGACUCAGCGAAGUUGAAGUGGUUGUGAAGAUGCAAUCUACCCGCUGCUAGACGGAAAGACCCCGUGAACCUUUACUGUAGCUUUGCAUUGGACUUUGAAGUCACUUGUGUAGGAUAGGUGGGAGGCUUGGAAGCAGAGACGCCAGUCUCUGUGGAGUCGUCCUUGAAAUACCACCCUGGUGUCUUUGAGGUUCUAACCCAGACCCGUCAUCCGGGUCGGGGACCGUGCAUGGUAGGCAGUUUGACUGGGGCGGUCUCCUCCCAAAGCGUAACGGAGGAGUUCGAAGGUUACCUAGGUCCGGUCGGAAAUCGGACUGAUAGUGCAAUGGCAAAAGGUAGCUUAACUGCGAGACCGACAAGUCGGGCAGGUGCGAAAGCAGGACAUAGUGAUCCGGUGGUUCUGUAUGGAAGGGCCAUCGCUCAACGGAUAAAAGGUACUCCGGGGAUAACAGGCUGAUUCCGCCCAAGAGUUCAUAUCGACGGCGGAGUUUGGCACCUCGAUGUCGGCUCAUCACAUCCUGGGGCUGUAGUCGGUCCCAAGGGUAUGGCUGUUCGCCAUUUAAAGUGGUACGUGAGCUGGGUUUAAAACGUCGUGAGACAGUUUGGUCCCUAUCUGCAGUGGGCGUUGGAAGUUUGACGGGGGCUGCUCCUAGUACGAGAGGACCGGAGUGGACGAACCUCUGGUGUACCGGUUGUAACGCCAGUUGCAUAGCCGGGUAGCUAAGUUCGGAAGAGAUAAGCGCUGAAAGCAUCUAAGCGCGAAACUCGCCUGAAGAUGAGACUUCCCUUGCGGUUUAACCGCACUAAAGGGUCGUUCGAGACCAGGACGUUGAUAGGUGGGGUGUGGAAGCGCGGUAACGCGUGAAGCUAACCCAUACUAAUUGCCCGUGAGGCUUGACUCUAU
RNAcentral lists this ribosomal RNA (2898 nucleotides) under Neisseria gonorrhoeae. Its description in RNAcentral is "bacterial LSU rRNA". It matches the Rfam family "Bacterial large subunit ribosomal RNA". Lineage: Bacteria; Pseudomonadati; Pseudomonadota; Betaproteobacteria; Neisseriales; Neisseriaceae. The record is from RNAcentral.